AGAGUUUGAUCCUGGCUCAGAACGAACGCUGGCGGCGUGGAUAAGACAUGCAAGUCGAACGAGAGAAUUGCUAGCUUGCUAAUAAUUCUCUAGUGGCGCACGGGUGAGUAACACGUGAGUAACCUGCCCCCGAGAGCGGGAUAGCCCUGGGAAACUGGGAUUAAUACCGCAUAGUAUCGAAAGAUUAAAGCAGCAAUGCGCUUGGGGAUGGGCUCGCGGCCUAUUAGUUAGUUGGUGAGGUAACGGCUCACCAAGGCGAUGACGGGUAGCCGGUCUGAGAGGAUGUCCGGCCACACUGGAACUGAGACACGGUCCAGACACCUACGGGUGGCAGCAGUCGAGAAUCAUUCACAAUGGGGGAAACCCUGAUGGUGCGACGCCGCGUGGGGGAAUGAAGGUCUUCGGAUUGUAAACCCCUGUCAUGUGGGAGCAAAUUAAAAAGAUAGUACCACAAGAGGAAGAGACGGCUAACUCUGUGCCAGCAGCCGCGGUAAUACAGAGGUCUCAAGCGUUGUUCGGAAUCACUGGGCGUAAAGCGUGCGUAGGCUGUUUCGUAAGUCGUGUGUGAAAGGCGCGGGCUCAACCCGCGGACGGCACAUGAUACUGCGAGACUAGAGUAAUGGAGGGGGAACCGGAAUUCUCGGUGUAGCAGUGAAAUGCGUAGAUAUCGAGAGGAACACUCGUGGCGAAGGCGGGUUCCUGGACAUUAACUGACGCUGAGGCACGAAGGCCAGGGGAGCGAAAGGGAUUAGAUACCCCUGUAGUCCUGGCAGUAAACGGUGCACGCUUGGUGUGCGGGGAAUCGACCCCCUGCGUGCCGGAGCUAACGCGUUAAGCGUGCCGCCUGGGGAGUACGGUCGCAAGAUUAAAACUCAAAGAAAUUGACGGGGACCCGCACAAGCGGUGGAGUAUGUGGCUUAAUUCGAUGCAACGCGAAGAACCUUACCUGGGCUUGACAUGUAAUGAACAACAUGUGAAAGCAUGCGACUCUUCGGAGGCGUUACACAGGUGCUGCAUGGCCGUCGUCAGCUCGUGUCGUGAGGUGUUUGGUUAAGUCCAGCAACGAGCGCAACCCCUGUUGCCAGUUACCAGCACGUGAAGGUGGGGACUCUGGCGAGACUGCCCAGGUCAACUGGGAGGAAGGUGGGGACGACGUCAGGUCAGUAUGGCCCUUAUGCCCAGGGCUGCACACGUACUACAAUGCCCAGUACAGAGGGGGCCGAAGCCGCGAGGCGGAGGAAAUCCUAAAAACUGGGCCCAGUUCGGACUGUAGGCUGCAACCCGCCUACACGAAGCCGGAAUCGCUAGUAAUGGCGCAUCAGCUACGGCGCCGUGAAUACGUUCCCGGGUCUUGCACUCACCGCCCGUCA
Molecule: ribosomal RNA, 1370 nt
Filed under: uncultured bacterium
Lineage: Bacteria
Description: bacterial SSU rRNA
Rfam family: Bacterial small subunit ribosomal RNA
Source: RNAcentral